GCACGCAUGCCAGGUGAGCGCGCUACCGCUUGAGCCACAUCCCCAGCCCUGAACCCAGGGCUUUGUGCAUAGUAGGCAAGCACUCAAACACUGAGCCAUACCUCCAGCCUGCUACCUCAUUUUAGUGUAUCCUUUUUUCAGAGAAGUUUGUACCUGAAGAAACAAGAAAGGAUCAGCACCAAAAUUAGCUUGAACAUAAAUCUCAGAAAAUUGAAAGGAGAACAAAAGGAAAAUUAGUCUAAAGGCUGUGUGUGAGAAGAAAUGAAAGAGGAUAAGAACUGAUGAUUAUAGUAUCCAGGGUAGAGAGAAAGAAUCAAAACUAUCUCUAUUUGUAUGAUUUUGAAUAUAGAAAACUCUAAGGAAUCCACAAAAAGCCUAUUAGAACUAAUAAAUGAGUUCAGUAAGGUUCAGUAUACAAAAUCAAUACACAAAAAUCAGUUGGAUUUCUAAACACUAAAAAUGAACCAUCUGUAAAUGAAAUUGAGAAAAUGUUUUUAUUAAAAUAGUAUCAAGAUGAAAAAUAUGAGUAAAUUUAACAAAAGAAGUACAAGAUUUAUGCACUAAAAACUAUAAAACAUUGUUAAAAAAUUAAACAGACCUAAAUAAAUGAGAAGACAUCCCAUGUUCAUGAAUAAAAGUGAAUAGAUGGUAUUUGGGGUGAUGGCAUUACUCCUCAAACUGAUCUACAUUUUUCAUACAAUAUCUAUACAAAUUUCAACUGACUGGGAUUGGAUAUGUAGCUCACUAGUAAAGUGCUUGCCUAGCAUGUAUGAGGCCCCCAGUUUGAUCU
RNAcentral lists this long non-coding RNA (790 nucleotides) under Marmota monax (woodchuck). The record is from RNAcentral. Lineage: Eukaryota; Metazoa; Chordata; Mammalia; Rodentia; Sciuridae.